UUGCAUGUGUAAAUGCCUGCUCCUUAUUCCUUUAGGGGCCGGAAAACAUCUAUAACAUGCUACAUUAAAAAUUAAGGAAUUGUCAGGGCUGCCAACCUUACAGUAGAGGUUGAGUAGUAGUAUAAUUCUCCUACAGUC
Molecule: small nucleolar RNA, 138 nt
Organism: Sorex araneus (European shrew)
Lineage: Eukaryota; Metazoa; Chordata; Mammalia; Eulipotyphla; Soricidae
Product: small nucleolar RNA U109
Exons: 1
Source: RefSeq, a predicted model, not a curated record